AGCUUUGACAUCAAGGGUGCGUUCACAUUUCAAAGGAUCAAAUACAUACACCAAUUUUUAACAUGUGGGCAAAUCAUGAUCAAUAAUCAAUGAUUUUAUUGAU
This is a long non-coding RNA of Ipomoea nil (Japanese morning glory), 103 nucleotides long. RefSeq lists it as uncharacterized. The transcript has 3 exons. NCBI's taxonomy places the organism in Eukaryota, Viridiplantae, Streptophyta, Magnoliopsida, Solanales, Convolvulaceae. The record is from RefSeq and is a predicted model, not a curated record.